RNAcentral lists this unclassified non-coding RNA (338 nucleotides) under soil metagenome. RNAcentral's name for it is "partial contains 5.8S ribosomal RNA, internal transcribed spacer 2, and large subunit ribosomal RNA". The stretch from base 1 to 120 matches the Rfam family "5.8S ribosomal RNA", at positions 35 to 154 of the family's 154-position model. The record is from RNAcentral.
GAUGAAGAACGCAGCGAAAUGCGAUAAGUAAUGUGAAUUGCAGAGUUCAGUGAAUCAUCGAAUCUUUGAACGCACAUUGCGCCCGCCAGCAUUCUGGCGGGCAUGCCUGUUCGAGCGUCAUUUCAACCCUCAAGCUCUGCUUGGUGUUGGGGCCCUACGGUUGACGUAGGCCCUUAAAGGUAGUGGCGGACCCUCUCGGAGCCUCCUUUGCGUAGUAACUAACGUCUCGCAUUGGGAUUCGGAGGGACUCUUGCCGUAAAACCCCCAAAUUUUCUAAUGGUUGACCUCGGAUCAGGUAGGAAUACCCGCUGAACUUAAGCAUAUCAAUAAGCGGAGGA